RNAcentral lists this small RNA (698 nucleotides) under Pongo abelii (Sumatran orangutan). RNAcentral's name for it is "processed transcript". Lineage: Eukaryota; Metazoa; Chordata; Mammalia; Primates; Hominidae. The record is from RNAcentral.
AGGCAAUUGACCGAGGCCUGGCUUUUGAACUUGUCUAUAGCCCUGCUAUCAAAGACUCCACAAUGAGAAGGUAUACAAUUUCCAAUGCCCUCAAUUUGAUGCAAAUCUGCAAAGGAAAGAAUGUAAUUAUAUCUAGUGCUGCAGAAAGGCCUUUAGAAAUAAGAGGGCCAUAUGAUGUGGCAAACCUAGGCUUGCUGUUUGGGCUCUCUGAAAGUGAUGCCAAGGCUGCGGUUUCCACCAACUGCCGAGCAGCGCUUCUCCAUGGAGAAACUAGAAAAACUGCUUUUGGAAUUAUUUCUACAGUGAAGAAACCUCGGCCAUCAGAAGAUGAAGAUUGUCUUCCAGCUUCCAAGAAAGCCAAAGGAUUGUCCUGGGCUGAUGAGAGUCACUUUACCUGAAGAUACCUGGGAAGUUUUGUCUCCUCUGAGGUUGGCCCAUGGCCAGUGACUGAUGCAGGACAUUACAGCCCGGCCCACUGGCCUCGGUGGUACAAUUUAUGCUCCUGAGCACCCCAUGGAAUUACACCGUGUGUGGAUUUCUCCUGAAACCACAUACUUGCCUCUUCUGCCCUGUUCUGUUUUUUCUCAUUCCCUUAUAGAGGACUCUCAGUAAGUCACUUGCACAAGAAUCCUAAUUUGAAAUGCUGCUUCCGGGAGACCUGACUUAGAAAAUUGGACAAAUAAAGUUGAUUUUUUUAA